AUACGGAGGAUCCGAGCGUUAUCCGGAUUUAUUGGGUUUAAAGGGUGCGCAGGCGGGAGAUUAAGUCGGCGGUGAAAUUUUGCAGCUCAACUGGAAAAGUGCCUUCGAAACUGGUUUCCUUGAGUGUAGAUGGAGUAGGCGGAAUUUGUGGUGUAGCGGUGAAAUGCAUAGAUAUCACGAGGAACUCCGAUUGCGCAGGCAGCUUACUAAACUACUACUGACGCUCAGGCACGAAGGCGUGGGGAUCAAACAGGAUUAGAUACCCUGGUAGUCCACGCAGUAAACGAUGAUUACUAGCUGUUUGCGAUACAAUGUAAGCGGCUGAGCGAAAGCGUUAAGUAAUCCACCUGGGGAGUACGUUCGCAAGAAUGAAACUCAAAUGAAUUGACGGGG
Molecule: ribosomal RNA, 393 nt
Filed under: uncultured bacterium
Lineage: Bacteria
Description: partial 16S ribosomal RNA
Rfam family: Bacterial small subunit ribosomal RNA
Source: RNAcentral